CUUCAUGCGAUCUCCGAUCCGAUAUGAUCCGAUCCUCAGUCAUGAUCGCCUGCUUGGUUCCUCGGUCGGUCCGGUUCGGUUGGAGCGGUUCGUUCGGUCAGUGGAAAUCCGAAAUCGGUGGAAACCCACCAGACGGGCCCCACAACUUACUACAAGAAUUUUGAAAUCAAAACAAAAACGUAAAAGAUCAACGCACAAAAAGAGCGCGCCACUGAAUUUUGGCGGGAGACUACUGUACCGCUGGAUCGGCGAGAAUCAGUUGAACAAAACAAACCGAUAAAACCGGAGGAGGAGCCUGUAGUAGGCGUAGGCACUGCGCUGGUGGUGGUGUGGCGUGUGUAGAAGAUCGAGAAGAACAACAAAAUCAAAAAGAAAACUGGUCAACUUAAUCAAAGAGCGGAGAAUCCAGAAGAUUUGCUGCUCACAGAUCUCCAAAGAGCACGGCAUUUUCACAGAAAUCCAGUUUUACAUCGACGAAGAGACGCAAAGAGCAGCAAAGAGACUGGGCGACCAGUGUUGCCGUGCAGCAGGUGGAAAAUCAGAGAGCCAGAUAUCAAAACAAAUUUCAAGCUGCCACGAAAUACUGCUAUCACGAGGAACUUGGCUUUAGAAUUAUUUAUCUUAGAAAAAUUUAAAUAAAUAUAUUUAGGAAGAUCUAAACUUAGGUUUAUCAAAUGUCUACCAAAGAACUAAGACUAGAUACAUAUUAGAAGACAUUUAAAAAUUAAAAAUAUAAGCAUAAUCUUUAGGUAAGGUAUAACAAGCAAUUUAUACAAAUAUCCGUUAUUUGAAUGCAAGUGUUGGAUAAUACAAAUAUUGCCUGAUCGAUUUCACGAACCUUCAACAGCUAUCCGCGUUCGGGCAAUUAAGGAACCCUUUAUUAAUGGUCAAUUAAGUAGCUUCAACACAUAUGUCAGUUGAUAAGGAACUUUGGUGGAGGAACCUUUAGCACGGCCACAAUUUUCCGCAGCUGAGGCGACCAGAGUCUCCUUACCGGUUUUUUCAUUUGGUCGUUUCUCCCCUUUUUUUGUCAACGAGAAAAAAGCGCGCCAAAAUGAUGCUCCUACUGGGGAUUUAUAGUCCUUCCUAUGCUGGGUGCCAUAAAACCUGAAAAAGGACUGAGCGGCGUGCGGACAAGGUGGAAUAAAGAAAAGGCUGCGUUUCCACUGGGAGAGUGUAAUAACCCCAAACGGACCCUCGAUCCGUCUCCCUUUCUCUUUCGCUCCGUGUCUCUUUCUGGCUGAAUUAAUUUCACAGCAGAAGCGGAAAGGAGAAGGCCGACGAAGAAGGGAAUAGCCGAAAGGAGGAGAACGAGAAGAAAACCAGGCAACGUUACUUGUUUCUUGAAGGGUCCACACGAUCGCCCCACGACGUCAAUUUGCAAGUUCUUCUUGGAGCCACAGAAACUCAGGCUGCAACUGCGAGGAACCCUCUGAUUCGCAGCAGAGAGGGCCGAUCGAAAGGUACUCGGUGAUGGGAAUAGUUUGAAGGUCCUUAAUUCCCUUGAUGAUUUACAUUUUGAAAUAUUAUAGUACAUGAGAGAUAGAUAGAUAGAUGUACUUAUUUUAGGUUGUUACAAAACUUUCAAAACUACAUAAGUAGCCAGAAAAAAAUAUAUAUAAUCUAAAUUUUUUCAAACAAAGAAGGUUAAAGUGUAGAAACGUUAUGUCUUUAAGAGCAUAUGUUAUACAUAAAUAGUUAUCUGAACUAGUUUGAAUCGUUAUAAAUACCGUUCUGGAAAUCAAUCCUCCCAAUCGCCAGGAAGAGUUCAAUGGACCCUCGCAAAGUGCGCAACAUUUUGCGGACCGGGUUUGUAGUAGCACACACACAGGCACAAAAGGAGGACAGGAGGGAUGGAGCAAUCCGAGGAGCGAGCAAUCUUCUGUUUACCCUGCCACAGUCUUUCCUCAUGAUCCUCCACUUCGUGCCUUUUAAUGCCUUUAAUCCUAGCAAAUAAUACAAAGGAGAGAACUCUAGGACAAGUGUAUGGAGGAAUACGAAAAGGCUGAAAAGUGGGGAGAACAUAAUAUACACCGCUAGAAAUCCAGGACUUUUCAAAAUUCAACAACACUACACUAAAGAAUAAACUUUAAACGAUUUUUAAAUGUAUCUAUUUAUAUACAUGGGUUUGAAGGACCAUAUCAAUGCGUAAAAAACUGUGCUACAAUAUAUUUAAUAUAUCCAAUGGCGACUGUCAGUGGCUUGGGGACUCGACCUGGGACGUGUCUCUGUUUCUGUCCCGGGCAUAAAAC
Long non-coding RNA from Drosophila sechellia, 2252 nucleotides. RefSeq lists it as uncharacterized. NCBI's taxonomy places the organism in Eukaryota, Metazoa, Arthropoda, Insecta, Diptera, Drosophilidae. The record is from RefSeq and is a predicted model, not a curated record. The transcript is spliced from 3 exons.